This 85-nucleotide small RNA is filed under the name Xanthomonas arboricola. RNAcentral describes it as "isrK". The record is from RNAcentral. RNAcentral also lists the same sequence under 1 other name. Lineage: Bacteria; Pseudomonadati; Pseudomonadota; Gammaproteobacteria; Lysobacterales; Lysobacteraceae.
GCUGCGGCACAUUCCGCAGCCGGGUUUAGCAGCCCGUAAUCACAAGGCGCACCAGCGCCCAUUGCACGAUGUCGGCGCUUUUCUU